RNAcentral lists this ribosomal RNA (279 nucleotides) under uncultured bacterium. RNAcentral describes it as "partial 16S ribosomal RNA". It matches the Rfam family "Bacterial small subunit ribosomal RNA", at positions 506 to 784 of the family's 1533-position model. The record is from RNAcentral.
UGCCAGCAGCCGCGGUAAUACGGAAGGUCCAAGCGUUAAUCGGAAUUACUGGGCGUAAAGCGCGCGUAGGUGGUCUGUUAAGUCGGAUGUGAAAGCCCCGGGCUCAACCUGGGAACUGCAUUCGAUACUGGCAGACUAGAGUGCGAGAGAGGGGUGUGGAAUUUCCUGUGUAGCGGUGAAAUGCGUAGAUAUAGGAAGGAACACCAGUGGCGAAGGCGACACCCUGGAUUGAUACUGACACUGAGGUGCGAAAGCGUGGGUAGCGAACAGGAUUAGAUA